GAAUGAUUUUAUUGCGAGUUGUAUAUGGCAGGGGACAACAUGUGAUCCAAGUUAUUUUGAAGUAUUUCAAAACUAUAUGUAUGGAAAUUGCUUUACUUUCAACACAAGUAAAGUCAACAGUAGCGUUAGCGGUACAGGACCUUACAAUGGUCUUAGUCUCUUCCUUUUCCUCGAGCAAGAAGAAUACAUGGAUCGUAUAGCGUCAGCAGCCGGAGCUCGUGUCACAAUUCACGAGUUUGACCAUGAACCACAGCCAGAA
Molecule: long non-coding RNA, 259 nt
Organism: Xenia sp. Carnegie-2017
Lineage: Eukaryota; Metazoa; Cnidaria; Anthozoa; Malacalcyonacea; Xeniidae
Exons: 3
Source: RefSeq, a predicted model, not a curated record